GCCGCUAUGGUGAAAUUGGUAGACACGCUGCUCUUUUUAUU
Molecule: transfer RNA, 41 nt
Filed under: Lycianthes moziniana var. moziniana
Lineage: Eukaryota; Viridiplantae; Streptophyta; Magnoliopsida; Solanales; Solanaceae
Description: partial tRNA-Leu
Source: RNAcentral